UAAAUCAGUUAUCGUUUAUUUGAUAGUACCUUACUACUUGGAUAACCGUGGUAAUUCUAGAGCUAAUACAUGCUGAAAACCCCGACUUCGGGAGGGGUGUAUUUAUUAGAUAAAAAACCAACGCCCUUCGGGGCUUCUUGGUGAUUCAUGAUAACUUAACGAAUCGCAUGGCCUUGCGCCGGCGAUGGUUCAUUCAAAUUUCUGCCCUAUCAACUUUCGAUGGUAGGAUAGUGGCCUACCAUGGUAUCAACGGGUAACGGGGAAUUAGGGUUCUAUUCCGGAGAGGGAGCCUGAGAAACGGCUACCACAUCCAAGGAAGGCAGCAGGCGCGCAAAUUACCCAAUCCCGACACGGGGAGGUAGUGACAAUAAAUACUGAUACAGGGCUCUUUUGGGUCUUGUAAUUGGAAUGAGUACAAUUUAAAUCCCUUAACGAGGAACAAUUGGAGGGCAAGUCUGGUGCCAGCAGCCGCGGUAAUUCCAGCUCCAAUAGCGUAUAUUAAAGUUGUUGCAGUUAAAAAGCUCGUAGUUGAACCUUGGGCCUGGCUGGCCGGUCCGCCUCACCGCGUGCACUGGUCCGGCCGGGCCUUUCCUUCUGGGGAGCCGCAUGCCCUUCACUGGGUGUGUCGGGGAACCAGGACUUUUACUUUGAAAAAAUUAGAGUGUUCAAAGCAGGCCUUUGCUCGGAUACAUUAGCAUGGAAUAAUAGAAUAGGACGUGCGGUCCUAUUUUGUUGGUUUCUAGGACCGCCGUAAUGAUUAAUAGGGAUAGUCGGGGGCAUCAGUAUUCAAUUGUCAGAGGUGAAAUUCUUGGAUUUAUUGAAGACUAACUACUGCGAAAGCAUUUGCCAAGGAUGUUUUCAUUAAUCAGUGAACGAAAGUUAGGGGAUCGAAGACGAUCAGAUACCGUCGUAGUCUUAACCGUAAACUAUGCCGACUAGGGAUCGGGCGAUGUUAUCAUUUUGACUCGCUCGGCACCUUACGAGAAAUCAAAGU
RNAcentral lists this ribosomal RNA (994 nucleotides) under Cenococcum geophilum. Its description in RNAcentral is "SSU rRNA". It matches the Rfam family "Eukaryotic small subunit ribosomal RNA", at positions 102 to 1104 of the family's 1831-position model. Lineage: Eukaryota; Fungi; Ascomycota; Dothideomycetes; Gloniales; Gloniaceae. The record is from RNAcentral.